RNAcentral lists this ribosomal RNA (305 nucleotides) under uncultured bacterium. Its description in RNAcentral is "partial 16S ribosomal RNA". It matches the Rfam family "Bacterial small subunit ribosomal RNA", at positions 505 to 807 of the family's 1533-position model. The record is from RNAcentral.
ACAGCAGUAGCCACGGUAAUACGUAGGGUGCAAGCGUUAAUCGGAAUUACUGGGCGUAAAGCGUGCGCAGACGGUUAUAUAAGUCAGAUGUGAAAUCCCCGGGCUCAACCUGGGAACUGCAUUUGAGACUGUAUGGCUAGAGUGUGUCAGGGGGGGGUAGAAUUCCACGUGUAGCAGUGAAAUGCGUAGAUAUGUGGAGGAAUACCGAUGGCGAAGGCAGCCCCCUGGGAUAACACUGACGCUCAUGCACGAAAGCGUGGGGAGCAAACAGGAUUAGAUACCCCGGUAGUCCCUGUCUCUUAUAC